This 1101-nucleotide long non-coding RNA is filed under the name Callithrix jacchus (white-tufted-ear marmoset). Its description in RNAcentral is "lncRNA (ENSCJAG00000072557.1)". The record is from RNAcentral. Lineage: Eukaryota; Metazoa; Chordata; Mammalia; Primates; Cebidae.
AGGAAUUGGGGAGUGUUCCUUCUUUAUUUUGUAACUGAAAUAGAACUCACAUGUGAAGUCCUGUUAUUUUCUUCUUUUUUCAGACUGCCUUUUUUUUUUGGAGAUGGGUCUUUCGACAUUGCCCAGGCUGGGAUGCAGUGGCUAUUCACAGUAGCAGGGUUUCACCAUGUUGAUUGGGCUGCUCUUGAACGUCUGACCUCAGGUAAUCCACCCGCCCUGGCCUCCCAAAGUACUGGGAUUACAGGUGUGAGCCACCUCACCUGGCCUCCCUGGCCUAAGUGUGUUUAGUUUUAUAAGACACCUCCCUUUUUAAUAUUCUUCAUUUUGGGUUUGUCCGAUGUUUCCUUAUAAUUAAAUUCAGGUUAUGCAUUCUAUUUCAGAAUACUGCGUAGGUGAUGUUGUGUCAUCAGGGCAGCAAGUCUUCCGGGAGCAUGAAACAUCCAUCUGUCCUGCAAUGGUCAUGUCAGUUGUGCUCACCCACGGAAGAUGCUGUCAGUUAUCUUCAUGAUAUACUUGCUAUUUUUUCCCUCCAUUUCUAUUAAUAAACAGUUUGUGGAAGGGGAUACAUUCAGGUUUUGCAAACAUCCUCUUUCUUUUCAAAAUUUUCCCUAAAUUGGCUGGGUGCAGUGAAUCAUGCCUGUAAUCCCAGCAUUUUGGGAGGCAGAUCCCUUCAGGUCAGGAGUUUGAGACCAGCCUGGCUAACAUAGUGAAACCACAUCUCUACUAAAACAUGCAAAAAUUGCCUGGAUUUGGUGGCGCAUGUCUGAAGUCCCAGCUACUCGGGAGGCUUGAGGAAGGAGAAUUGCUUGAACCCAGGAAGUAUAGGUUGCAGUGAGCUGAGAUUGUGCCACUGCACUCCAGCCUGGGUGACAGAGCAAGACUCCAUCUCAAAAAAAAAAAAAAAAAAAAAAAAAAUUCCCCUAGAUUUAGCAUCCAUUGAUUAAUUCUUGCUUAAUCCACUCUUUGUUAUGGCAGUGACAAAAUGAUAAUUUUAAAGUUUCUGAAUGCCACAUCUAACAGUUGGCUUUCAGCAUUCUACUGUUAGCAAAACCCUCCCUUCUUCACAUUGGUUUAUUUGUGUUUAUAUUUAUUAGCAGUAUG